This 246-nucleotide ribosomal RNA is filed under the name uncultured bacterium. RNAcentral's name for it is "partial 16S ribosomal RNA". It matches the Rfam family "Bacterial small subunit ribosomal RNA", at positions 103 to 334 of the family's 1533-position model. The record is from RNAcentral.
UCGACCGGCCGGCACCGGGUGGAGUAACGCGUAUGCAACCUGCCCGAUACCGGGGUAUAGCCCAUGGAAACGUGGAUUAACACCCCAUAGUACUUUUAUCCUGCAUGGGAUGUGAGUUAAAUGUUCAAGGUAUCGGAUGGGCAUGCGUCCUAUUAGUUAGUUGGCGGGGUAACAGCCCACCAAGACGAUGAUAGGUAGGGGUUCUGAGAGGAAGGUCCCCCACAUUGGAACUGAGACACGGUCCAA